AAGUGGGCCUGCCCUGUGAAUUUUUUAACGGCUGCAGUAUUUUGACUGUGCUAAGGUAGCAUAAUGAUUUGCCUUUUAAUUGGGGGCUAGAAUGAAUGGUUUAACGAGGAAAACUCUUUUUUUAUUUUUAAAUUAAAUUUUCUUAAAAGGUUAAAAAGCCUUUUUACUUUAGGGGGACGAUAAGACCCUAUAAAACUUUACUUUUAGUAAAUUUUAGAGAGAUUAUGAGGCGUUAUAAAUUUUAUAUAAGAGUUUUGCUGGGGCGGCAAAUUUUUAAAUUUAAAACACAAAUUUUAUUUAAACACUUAUAAAUGAUUUUUUCAAACCUAAUUUAAUAAUUAAGAUUAAGUUACUUUAGGGAUAACAGCACAAGAUUAUUUUAGAGUUCCUAUCGAUAAAAAUGUUUAUGACCUCGAUGUUGAAUUGAAAGUUCUUUAGUGUGCAGUCUUAUUAGAAGUAAAGUCUGUU
This 468-nucleotide ribosomal RNA is filed under the name Chaetarcturus adareanus. RNAcentral's name for it is "partial 16S small subunit ribosomal RNA". It matches the Rfam family "Bacterial large subunit ribosomal RNA", at positions 1850 to 2581 of the family's 2925-position model. Lineage: Eukaryota; Metazoa; Arthropoda; Malacostraca; Isopoda; Arcturidae. The record is from RNAcentral.